This 413-nucleotide ribosomal RNA is filed under the name Mirabilicoxa sp. RNAcentral describes it as "partial 16S ribosomal RNA". It matches the Rfam family "Bacterial large subunit ribosomal RNA", at positions 1963 to 2598 of the family's 2925-position model. Lineage: Eukaryota; Metazoa; Arthropoda; Malacostraca; Isopoda; Desmosomatidae. The record is from RNAcentral.
AAUCAUUUGUCUUCUAAUUGAGGGCUAGUAUGAACGAGACGACGAUGAUUUAGCUAUCCUUAAAAUUUAAGUAGAAAUUAAUAUCUGCUUUAAAAAGAGCAGCUUACUUGGGGGACGAUAAGACCCUAUAAAAUUUAAUUUUUAGCCAUAAAUGCCGAUUUUGUAGUACGGCAAGAAAAUCUUAAAAAUUAAGCUGGGGCGGCAAUUAAUUUAAACCUUAAGCAUUAUAACACCUAUGCGUGAUUUGGCAGAACUUUUAUAUAAAAAAUAGAACAAGUUACUUUAGGGAUAACAGCACAAUUCCACCAGAAAGUCCGUAUUGAAGGGGGAGACUUGUGACCUCGAUGUUGAAUUGAAGGGCCACGCUAGAGCAGGCACUAGUGUUGGGGGUCUGUUCGACCUAUAAUUCUUCA